RNAcentral lists this ribosomal RNA (252 nucleotides) under uncultured bacterium. Its description in RNAcentral is "partial 16S ribosomal RNA". It matches the Rfam family "Bacterial small subunit ribosomal RNA", at positions 524 to 776 of the family's 1533-position model. The record is from RNAcentral.
UACGUAGGGGGCGAGCGUUGUCCGGAAUUAUUGGGCGUAAAGGGUUCGUAGGCGGUUAUUUAAGUCAGGUGUGAAAGGCAUAGGCUCAACCUGUGUAAGCACUUGAAACUGAAUGACUUGAGUUAAGGAGAGGAAAGUGGAAUUCCUAGUGUAGCGGUGAAAUGCGUAGAUAUUAGGAGGAAUACCAGUGGCGAAGGCGACUUUCUGGACUUAUACUGACGCUGAGGAACGAAAGCGUGGGGAGCAAACAGG